GAUUGAACGCUGGCGGCAGGCCUAACCCAUGCAAGUCGAGCGGAUGAAGGGAGCUUGCUCCUGGAUUCAGCGGCGGACGGGUGAGUAAUGCCUAGGAAUCUGCCUGGUAGUGGGGGAUAACGUCCGGAAACGGGCGCUAAUACCGCAUACGUCCUGAGGGAGAAAGUGGGGGAUCUUCGGACCUCACGCUAUCAGAUGAGCCUAGGUCGGAUUAGCUAGUUGGUGGGGUAAAGGCCUACCAAGGCGACGAUCCGUAACUGGUCUGAGAGGAUGAUCAGUCACACUGGAACUGAGACACGGUCCAGACUCCUACGGGAGGCAGCAGUGGGGAAUAUUGGACAAUGGGCGAAAGCCUGAUCCAGCCAUGCCGCGUGUGUGAAGAAGGUAUUCGGAUUGUAAAGCACUUUAAGUUGGGAGGAAGGGCAGUAAGUUAAUACCUUGCUGUUUUGACGUUACCAACAGAAUAAGCACCGGCUAACUUCGUG
RNAcentral lists this ribosomal RNA (485 nucleotides) under uncultured bacterium. RNAcentral describes it as "partial 16S ribosomal RNA". It matches the Rfam family "Bacterial small subunit ribosomal RNA", at positions 27 to 507 of the family's 1533-position model. The record is from RNAcentral.